AAAAGGAGGAAUUAAACUGAUUAGUCACCCAUAAGUAUUAACAGAUCUUUGAAAGGACACUGUAGGACUUCUUUGUGGUGCUCCCAUCAGCAGCACAAAGGAAUAGAUGAAGAAUUUGUGAAGAGCAGGUCAAGGAAGGGGAUUCUCCCCCUCUACUCCACUUCUGUGAGACCUCACCUAGAGUACUGCAUCCAGCUCUCAGCCCCCAACAUAGGAAGGAUGUGCACCUGUUGGAGCAAGUCCAGAGAAGGCCACAAAGAUGCUCAGAGGGCUGGAGCACCUCUCAUUUGGAGACAGGCUGAGAGAGCUGGGCUUGUCGAGCCUGGAGAAGAGAAGGCUCUGGCAGACCUUAGAGAAGCCUUCCAGUACCUAAAGGGGCUGACAAGAAAGCUGGAGAGGGGCUUUCUUCAAGGGCCUCUAGGGACAGGACAAGGGGGAAUGGCUUUAACUGGCAGAGGGGAGACUUAGAUAUCGGGCAGAAGUUCUCCCCUGUGAGGGUGGUAAGGCACUGGAAGAGGUUGCCCAGAGAUGCUGCGGGUGCCCCAUCCUUGGCAGUGUUCAAGGCCAGGCUGGACAGGGCUUUGAACAACCUGGUCUAGUGGAAGGUGUCCCUGCCCAUGGCAAGGGGGUUCGAACUAGAUGAUCUUUAAGGUCCCUUCCAACCCAAACCGUUCUAUGA
Neopsephotus bourkii (Bourke's parrot) is the source of this 679-nucleotide long non-coding RNA. RefSeq lists it as uncharacterized. Lineage: Eukaryota; Metazoa; Chordata; Aves; Psittaciformes; Psittacidae. The record is from RefSeq and is a predicted model, not a curated record. The transcript is spliced from 2 exons.